Molecule: ribosomal RNA, 254 nt
Filed under: uncultured bacterium
Lineage: Bacteria
Description: partial 16S ribosomal RNA
Rfam family: Bacterial small subunit ribosomal RNA
Source: RNAcentral
CACGUAGGGGGCGAGCGUUGUCCGGAUUUAUUGGGCGUAAAGAGCUCGUAGGCGGUUCGGCAAGUCGGGUGUGAAAUUUCGAGGCUCAACCUCGAAACGCCACUCGAUACUGCUGUGACUGGAGUCCGGUAGAGGAGUGCGGAAUUCCUGGUGUAGCGGUGAAAUGCGCAGAUAUCAGGAGGAACACCAACGGCGAAGGCAGCACUCUGGGCCGGUACUGACGCUGAGGAGCGAACGCGUGGGGAGCAAACAGG